UUCGCCCUUAGAGUUUGAUCCUGGCUCAGAGCGAACGCUGGCGGCAGGCUUAACACAUGCAAGUCGAACGGGCUUCUUCGGAAGUCAGUGGCAGACGGGUGAGUAACACGUGGGAACGUGCCCUUUGGUUCGGAAUAACUCAGGGAAACUUGAGCUAAUACCGGAUACGCCCUUAUGGGGAAAGGUUUACUGCCGAAGGAUCGGCCCGCGUCUGAUUAGCUUGUUGGUGGGGUAACGGCCUACCAAGGCGACGAUCAGUAGCUGGUCUGAGAGGAUGAUCAGCCACACUGGGACUGAGACACGGCCCAGACUCCUACGGGAGGCAGCAGAAGGG
This 334-nucleotide ribosomal RNA is filed under the name uncultured Methylobacterium sp. Its description in RNAcentral is "bacterial SSU rRNA". It matches the Rfam family "Bacterial small subunit ribosomal RNA", at positions 1 to 359 of the family's 1533-position model. The record is from RNAcentral. Lineage: Bacteria; Pseudomonadati; Pseudomonadota; Alphaproteobacteria; Hyphomicrobiales; Methylobacteriaceae.